RNAcentral lists this ribosomal RNA (400 nucleotides) under uncultured Sphingomonas sp. RNAcentral's name for it is "bacterial SSU rRNA". It matches the Rfam family "Bacterial small subunit ribosomal RNA", at positions 354 to 771 of the family's 1533-position model. The record is from RNAcentral. Lineage: Bacteria; Pseudomonadati; Pseudomonadota; Alphaproteobacteria; Sphingomonadales; Sphingomonadaceae.
GUGGGGAAUAUUGGACAAUGGGCGAAAGCCUGAUCCAGCAAUGCCGCGUGAGUGAUGAAGGCCUUAGGGUUGUAAAGCUCUUUUACCCGGGAUGAUAAUGACAGUACCGGGAGAAUAAGCUCCGGCUAACUCCGUGCCAGCAGCCGCGGUAAUACGGAGGGAGCUAGCGUUAUUCGGAAUUACUGGGCGUAAAGCGCACGUAGGCGGCUUUGUAAGUUAGAGGUGAAAGCCUGGAGCUCAACUCCAGAAUUGCCUUUAAGACUGCAUCGCUUGAAUCCAGGAGAGGUGAGUGGAAUUCCGAGUGUAGAGGUGAAAUUCGUAGAUAUUCGGAAGAACACCAGUGGCGAAGGCGGCUCACUGGACUGGUAUUGACGCUGAGGUGCGAAAGCGUGGGGAGCAA